This 253-nucleotide ribosomal RNA is filed under the name uncultured bacterium. Its description in RNAcentral is "partial 16S ribosomal RNA". It matches the Rfam family "Bacterial small subunit ribosomal RNA", at positions 524 to 776 of the family's 1533-position model. The record is from RNAcentral.
UACGUAGGGUGCGAGCGUUGUCCGGAAUUAUUGGGCGUAAAGGGCUCGUAGGCGGUUUGUCGCGUCGGGAGUGAAAACCCAGGGCUUAACCCUGGGCUGGCUUCCGAUACGGGCAGACUAGAGGUAUGCAGGGGAGAACGGAAUUCCUGGUGUAGCGGUGAAAUGCGCAGAUAUCAGGAGGAACACCGGUGGCGAAGGCGGUUCUCUGGGCGUUACCUGACGCUGAGGAGCGAAAGUGUGGGGAGCGAACAGG